RNAcentral lists this ribosomal RNA (340 nucleotides) under uncultured Ehrlichia sp. Its description in RNAcentral is "bacterial SSU rRNA". It matches the Rfam family "Bacterial small subunit ribosomal RNA", at positions 63 to 414 of the family's 1533-position model. Lineage: Bacteria; Pseudomonadati; Pseudomonadota; Alphaproteobacteria; Rickettsiales; Anaplasmataceae. The record is from RNAcentral.
UCAAUUGCUUAUAACCUUUUGGUUAUAAAUAGUUGUUAGUGGCAGACGGGUGAGUAAUGCGUAGGAAUCUACCUAGUAGUAUGGAAUAGCCAUUAGAAAUGAUGGGUAAUACUGUAUAAUCCCUGCGGGGGAAAGAUUUAUCGCUAUUAGAUGAGCCUACGUUAGAUUAGCUAGUUGGUAAGGUAAUGGCUUACCAAGGCUAUGAUCUAUAGCUGGUCUGAGAGGACGAUCAGCCACACUGGAACUGAGAUACGGUCCAGACUCCUACGGGAGGCAGCAGUGGGGAAUAUUGGACAAUGGGCGAAAGCCUGAUCCAGCUAUGCCGCGUGAGUGAAGAAGG